Molecule: long non-coding RNA, 3095 nt
Organism: Photinus pyralis (common eastern firefly)
Lineage: Eukaryota; Metazoa; Arthropoda; Insecta; Coleoptera; Lampyridae
Exons: 9
Source: RefSeq, a predicted model, not a curated record
CCAAGCUUGGAGUCGUUUUUGACCUGCCUAACGUCGGCCAUUUUUAUGCAGCGUCCAUGAACGUUAUACCUGAUGCAGUCGUUUUAAACGUUGGGGGUAGAAGAUUCCAGCUUCGAUAAAUUGGAAACUGCAAGGCGUCCAGACAAUCCUGAUGCCAGAAAAUCCUAUCAAAGGGUGCCAUCAAACUUUUUGGGAGCCGAUUGAAGGUUUCAGGAGUAUGAGUAAAAAAUAAUUUUCGUUUGAGAACGAAAAGCUUGGAGUCCUUCAUGGCCAAACGCCCGCCAUUUUGUCGUCUCGUCCGCGAGCGUUAUUCAUGGUACAAUCCGGUUACACGUUCAGGCUUCGACAAAUUGCAAGCUGCCAAGCAUCCAGAAAAUCCUAUCAAGGGGUGCAAUCGAUCAUUUUGGAAGCCGUUAUUCGCCUCCCCUCCCUCCAGUAUGAUGUUGUCAGUGAUCUACCCAGCUUUUUGUGCCAAUCGCCGAUCAUUACAAAGGGUAAUAUACCGGACCGAUGUCUCAUAUUGGUAUCAAUCAAGCAUUCAUUUGUUGGUUGGCGCCCGAUAUAUGAUAACUGAACAUGGACGUUAAGGAGGGGCUGGUAAAUGGCGCCUGUUGUUUUCUAAGGGCCGUUGAAAGAUCAGAAAGUAACGUGUUGUGUUUGAAAAGGAUUUGGCUGCAGUUCGAUCAAGAAGAUUAGAGGAAGGCGAUUCCAGUACAUACCAUUAGACAGAUGUACGCCCCAAAUUAAGACAAAAAAGGAAUUUUCGGACAUUUUUGUUGAAUGGUGUCAAUUCUCCGUCACUCCGGUCUCGGCGCUGGCCAUGCACAAAGCGCAGGGGGCAAUCUUUCAAACUGUCGUGGUUUGCUUGGACAAGCAGAUGUUAAAAAGUUCGUAUGUACGUGGCUUGCAGUAGUCGUGUUUCCAUAAGCCGAUCAUUUGGGAACAACCGCUGUCAACUGGUUUCUUUGGACCACGACCACCACCACCGAUCUUAAAUAAAACUGUAACACGAACACAACUAACCUUACCACCACCACCGUCGCAGCCAUUGACAUCGAACACAUCUUGGUUGAAUAUGGCAAGAUUGACCACAAACAAGACUACCAGGAAUUUUGUACGAACCUAAUGGAUAAAUUGAGACCGCAUUACAGAAACAAAAUUCAAGUUGACUAGUCCAGUAUGAUGACGCACAAUCAUGUUCAGCUUGCGAAGAGGGCUCGACUUAUACCUACUUUAGUCUUCAUUUUGAGCAACUUUUCAAUGGAGGAGAGGACUAUUUGGGAGUGCAGGCUGCAACCAAUGCCGCAACGAUGAAUUGAUCACGACUUUUAACGUCCUAAACGCCUGUCCCAAUCUGGUGCUGUGGUUCGUCAAUUAUCUUACUAAUGACCGAGUUGGAGUGAAACUUACACACAUUUUAAUCAUUUGGUUGGUGGAUGACGACUUUAAAGUGGACCAAUUACUAUGGCGUGCCAAACUUCUUGUUCCAAGGAAGAUGGAUCAAUGUUGAAAAGCUGGGUUGGUUAAUAUUGGCAGUGGAUACAGUAGUAGAUCAAUCCCUUACCACCAGUGUGCACAGGAAAGAUGUUAGAAAUGGUUAGAAUCUGGAAGUUAGGAAACCAACCAUACUUGAUUGUGGUUCCGUUUGGAUGCCGUGUAAUUUAUCCAAGGAGUAAUGUACCAGUUGAUGAAAGCCUUCCAACAUUGACGGCGGAAAUAAUUAUACAUUACACAACCCCACCUCUACAGCCUGUCCAUAAAAGGUGCCAGUACAGAUUUUUCUGUAUGCCACUGGGUUUGCCAGGUCUACAGUUCGCAAAGUGAGACCUCUUUCUCCAGGUUGUGCAGUGCAUCGUUCGUUCUACUGUUCAUGAUGCUUCGCAGGCAAGGCCGGAAUUCAUAAGGCUAAUGAUUCCAGAAGGGCAGCCUUAUAAAGGUAGGAUUUUUUCUCUUUUGCAUGGUGUAUUGCAUGUCAUAUUUUGUGUAAAGGGGGGAAAAGUGACUAGUGCAUAUGGUGACUAAAAAGAAGAUCGUCAACUGUAUUGAGCUAACCGAGAAAGUAGUAAGUGAGUUGUGACUAUCUUCUCAAUCUAUCAUCUUGGCGAUGUAAGAUUGACCUCAAUGAUUCUUUAAGUACCUAGUCCCUUUCGAAGUCUGCGUCAGUUUUCGUUAUAUUAACAAGCGAUUAUGUAUUCAUAGCCACAGUAAUGAUAAGACGUAAACUGACUGGUCGACGAACGAGACUAUGGAGAAGUAUUGUAGUCAAUUCUUUCGUUUCCAAGUGCCAUGGAUUUGAUGAUUGUUAUACCUCAUUUAUUAUUACAUGAAGAUUGGCUUAAUAGUUUUUAAAAAGAGGGUGAGUAGUUGACUUAAUAAAUAGUAUGUUCGUUUAUUGUUACUGGCGUGUGAUGCCAUAAGAUCAUAUUACAGUUCUUUAAUAAAUGAGCACACUCUUACAAUAAAUUAUUACAUUGUGUGUUUACGUUGUUUUGCUAAUUUCAUUGGUUAUUCACAGGGCCAAGUGAUCGGUCUACUCCCAGUAUCAGUUCUACACAAGCAACUCCGGUAGUGGAUCUUGAUUCAAGAUUAUCGUCAUCCCUGUUGAAUAAUUGUAUGGAUAUUGAAUACGAGAGAGAUUCGAGAAGGGCAGCUAUAUAAAGGUAGGAUUUUUCUUUUAUUAAUUUUAAGCAGUGGGGGAAAAGUGAAUAGUGUCUGGAGAUAUUUUCAACUGAUCGUACAUCGUAAGUAAAGUUUAGUUGUCUUCUUAUCUUGGUGACAUAAGAUUGAUUGCAAUGAUUCUUCAAAGGUAUCUUUGGCGGAAUCAAUCAAUUUGCAUCAUAUUAAUUUGUAGAAGUAUGAAUUCAUAAUUGUACUUUUUUUUAUGAAGCAAAACGAUUGUCUUUGCGAACAAACCUGUGCAGACACAUUGGAAUCAUGUCUUCCGUUCCCAAGUUGAGUGAUAGUCAACGCCCAAUUCUUAAAUCAAUUAUUUUCGUUUUUUCUUAUGAAUAUGCAUUAUGCACCUAAUACAUUUUCCUUACAGCACACCAUUUUGGAAGCAGUUCGUUUGACAGGGGUUUCCAAGGCGUAUGUCA